This 489-nucleotide ribosomal RNA is filed under the name Bathyleberis oculata. Its description in RNAcentral is "partial 16S ribosomal RNA". It matches the Rfam family "Bacterial large subunit ribosomal RNA", at positions 1862 to 2617 of the family's 2925-position model. The record is from RNAcentral. Lineage: Eukaryota; Metazoa; Arthropoda; Ostracoda; Myodocopida; Cylindroleberididae.
CCCGGUGGUUUACUAAACGGCUGCGGUAUCCUGACCGUACGAAGGUAGCAUAAUAAGUAGUUUUUUAAUUGGAGACUGGAAUGAAUGGUCGAAUAAGAAAGAGACUGUUUAAUAAUAAGAAUAAAAAUUGAUUAUCAGGUACAAAGGCCUGGAUUUUGUAAAGUGACAAGAAGACCCUAGGAGUUUUAUAGUGUUGUUAAGUGACGUGCUUAUUAUUGUGUUGGCGGGACUUAAGUUUACUAUUUAACUGGGGCGGUUAAAAUUUAUCUUUUUUGUGGCUUACCUAAUUAGUGGGAGUAGAUUGAUAAAAUAUCCUGGUUGGAAAGCAGAAUAAAUUACCUUAGGGAUAACAGCAUAAUCUCCUUUGAGAGACCUUAUUGACAGGGGGGUUUGUGACCUCGAUGUUGGAUUUGAAUAACUGCAAGGAGCAGAAUUUUUGCAAGUUGGUUUGUUCAACCAUUAAAUUUCAACGUGAUCUGAGUUCAAACC